RNAcentral lists this long non-coding RNA (280 nucleotides) under Nicotiana benthamiana. RNAcentral's name for it is "long non-coding RNA (NBEN_LNC027120)". The record is from RNAcentral. Lineage: Eukaryota; Viridiplantae; Streptophyta; Magnoliopsida; Solanales; Solanaceae.
UAGUCCCUGUGACAAGUAAACUUGAAGCUCAUUUAGAUGGAAAAUUUCAUCAAAAUUAUCACCUUGAGAAUCCCGGAACUCCGUCCACGAUUUAAGAGCUGUUAAGCCAGCAGCUCUUUUAGACGAUUGUGAUGUACACGAAGUAGGGGUUGAAAUAUUUGGCCUAUCAUGCUCUAACGCCUGUUUAUAAGCAUUAUAACCAGUUUGAGCAUUAAAUUGAUGCUUUCGCAUCAGCAAGUGUAGCAAUUUCGUCUUCUGAAAGAUCUAAAGCUUUAUANNN